UACGGAGGAUGCAAGCGUUAUCCGGAAUGAUUGGGCGUAAAGCGUCCGCAGGUGGCAAUGUAAGUCUGCUGUCAAAGCGUCUGGCUCAACCAGAUAAAGGCAGCGGAAACUACAUAGCUAGAGUAAGGUAGGGGUAGAGGGAAUUCCUGGUGUAGCGGUGAAAUGCGUAGAGAUCAGGAAGAACACCGGUGGCGAAAGCGCUCUGCUGGACCUAAACUGACACUGAGGGACGAAAGCUAGGGGAGCGAAUGGG
RNAcentral lists this ribosomal RNA (253 nucleotides) under uncultured bacterium. RNAcentral's name for it is "partial 16S ribosomal RNA". It matches the Rfam family "Bacterial small subunit ribosomal RNA", at positions 524 to 776 of the family's 1533-position model. The record is from RNAcentral.